RNAcentral lists this ribosomal RNA (253 nucleotides) under uncultured bacterium. RNAcentral describes it as "partial 16S ribosomal RNA". It matches the Rfam family "Bacterial small subunit ribosomal RNA", at positions 524 to 776 of the family's 1533-position model. The record is from RNAcentral.
UACGUAGGGUGCAAGCGUUGUCCGGAAUUAUUGGGCGUAAAGAGCUCGUAGACGGUUUGUCGCGUCGACUGUGAAAACCUACAGCUUAACUGUGGGCUUGCAGUCGAUACGGGCAGACUUGAGUUCGGUAGGGGAGACUGGAAUUCCUGGUGUAGCGGUGAAAUGCGCAGAUAUCAGGAGGAACACCAAUGGCGAAGGCAGCACUCUGGGACGGUACUGACGCUGAGACGCGAAAGCGUGGGGAGCAAACAGG